RNAcentral lists this ribosomal RNA (445 nucleotides) under uncultured prokaryote. RNAcentral describes it as "bacterial SSU rRNA". It matches the Rfam family "Bacterial small subunit ribosomal RNA", at positions 454 to 774 of the family's 1533-position model. The record is from RNAcentral.
CCUACUUUCUUCUUCCUUUCUUCCUUUUUCUCCCUUUUCUCCCUCCUUCCUCCUCCCCUCCUCUUUUUUUCUUCCUUCCUUCUUUUCUUCCCUCCCUUUCCUUUUUUAAUAAUGUCCCGGGAGCGAACAGUUUCCGGGAGUGACGGUACCACCAGAUUAAGCACCGGCUAACUCCUGGCCAGCAGCCGCUGUAAUACGGAGGGUGCGAGCGUUAUUCGGAAUUACUGGGCGUAAAGCGCGUGUAGGCGGUCCUGCAAGUCUGAUGUGAAAGCCCCGGGCUUAACCCGGGAAGUGCAUUGGAAACUGUGGGACUUGAGUACUGGAGAGGAUGGUGGAAUUCCCGGUGUAGAGGUGAAAUUCGUAGAGAUCGGGAGGAAUAUCAGUGGCGAAGGCGCCCAUCUGGACGGUAACUGACGCUGAGACGCGAAAGCGUGGGGAGCAAACA